This 440-nucleotide ribosomal RNA is filed under the name uncultured bacterium. RNAcentral's name for it is "partial 16S ribosomal RNA". It matches the Rfam family "Bacterial small subunit ribosomal RNA", at positions 338 to 795 of the family's 1533-position model. The record is from RNAcentral.
CCUACGGGUGGCAGCAGUGGGGAAUAUUGCACAAUGGGGGAAACCCUGAUGCAGCGACGCCGCGUGAGUGAAGAAGUAAUUCGGUAUGUAAAGCUCUAUCAGCAGGGAAGAAAUUGACGGUACCUGAGUAAGGACCCCCGGCUACCUACGUGCCAGCAGCAGCGGUCAUACGUAGGGGGCAAGCAUUAGCCGGAUUUACUGGGUGUAACGGGAGCGUAGACGGCAGUGCAAGUCUGGAGUGAAAGGCGGGGGCUUAACCACGGGACUGCUGUGGAAACUGUACGGCUGGAGUGCAGGAGAGGUAAGUGGAAUUCCUAGUGUAGCGGUGAAAUGCGUAGAUAUUAGGAGGAACACCAGUGGCGAAGGCGGCUUACUGGACUGUAACUGACGUUGAGGCUCGAAAGCGUGGGGAGCAAACAGGAUUAGAUACCCGUGUAGUC